AACGAACGCCGGCGGCGUGCCUAAUGCAUGCAAGUCGAGCGGCAACAGGCCCUUACCUCUGGUAAGGAUGCUGGCGAGCGGCGAACGGGUGAGUAAUACGUGGGUAACCUACCCUGAAGAAGGGGAUACCCCACCGAAAGGUGGAUCAAUACCCUAUAAUCUCCUGGAAGGCAACUUCCAGGAGGAAAGGUGGCAGUUCUCUGCUACCGCUUCAGGAUGGGCUCACGGCCCAUCAGCUAGUUGGUGAGGUAAUGGCUCACCAAGGCUAUGAUGGGUAGCUGGUCUGAGAGGACGGUCAGCCACACUGGGACUGAGACACGGCCCAGACUCCUACGGGAGGCAGCAUG
RNAcentral lists this ribosomal RNA (347 nucleotides) under uncultured bacterium. Its description in RNAcentral is "bacterial SSU rRNA". It matches the Rfam family "Bacterial small subunit ribosomal RNA", at positions 29 to 358 of the family's 1533-position model. The record is from RNAcentral.